RNAcentral lists this ribosomal RNA (115 nucleotides) under Enterobacter cloacae subsp. cloacae. RNAcentral describes it as "partial 23S ribosomal RNA". The stretch from base 1 to 97 matches the Rfam family "Bacterial large subunit ribosomal RNA", at positions 2828 to 2925 of the family's 2925-position model. The record is from RNAcentral. Lineage: Bacteria; Pseudomonadati; Pseudomonadota; Gammaproteobacteria; Enterobacterales; Enterobacteriaceae.
AAAGGAACGUUGAAGACGACGACGUUGAUAGGUCGGGUGUGUAAGCGCAGCGAUGCGUUGAGCUAACCGAUACUAAUGAACCGUGAGGCUUAACCUUACAACGCCGAAGGUGUUU